AAAAUACUCUCAUAAGAAUAAAAUUAAACCAUAAUCAUAAACUCCAAUAUUCUCAAAUUCCUCAAUAUAAUCACAUUCCAUACUUAACCUCAAAUAAUCUUAAUUUAAAUCAUAAAUUAUCAAAAUACUCAUAAUUCUUGAAAUUACGAAAUUACCCUCAAAUAUCAAAAUUACCAAAAUGCCCUUGAAUUCAAUAUUACCAAAAUACCCUCAAAUAUCAAAAUUACUAAAUUAACCUCAAAAUCAUAAAUUACCAACUUUAUCCUCAAUUUCAGCAAUUAUUAAAAUACCCACAAAAUCUGAAAUUACAAAAUU
Molecule: long non-coding RNA, 315 nt
Filed under: Citrus sinensis (sweet orange)
Lineage: Eukaryota; Viridiplantae; Streptophyta; Magnoliopsida; Sapindales; Rutaceae
Description: long non-coding RNA (CSIN_LNC001098)
Source: RNAcentral